UACGUAGGGGGCGAGCGUUGUCCGGAAUUAUUGGGCGUAAAGAGCUCGUAGGCGGUGUGUCACGUCGAUCGUGAAAACUUGGGGCUUAACUCUGAGCUUGCGGUCGAUACGGGCAUCACUGGAGUUCGGCAGGGGAGACUGGAAUUCCUGGUGUAGCGGUGAAAUGCGCAGAUAUCAGGAGGAACACCGGUGGCGAAGGCGGGUCUCUGGGCCGAUACUGACGCUGAGGAGCGAAAGCGUGGGGAGCGAACAGG
This 254-nucleotide ribosomal RNA is filed under the name uncultured bacterium. Its description in RNAcentral is "partial 16S ribosomal RNA". It matches the Rfam family "Bacterial small subunit ribosomal RNA", at positions 524 to 776 of the family's 1533-position model. The record is from RNAcentral.